Molecule: ribosomal RNA, 460 nt
Filed under: uncultured bacterium
Lineage: Bacteria
Description: partial 16S ribosomal RNA
Rfam family: Bacterial small subunit ribosomal RNA
Source: RNAcentral
CCUACGGGAGGCUGCAGUGAGGAAUAUUGGUCAAUGGGCUUACGCCUGAACCAGCCAAGUCGCGUGAGGGAAGACUGCCCUAUGGGUUGUAAACCUCUUUUGUCAGGGAGCAAUUGGCGCUACGUGUAGCGUUAUCGAGAGUACCUGAAGAAAAAGCAUCGGCUAACUCCGUGCCAGCAGCCGCGGUAAUACGGAGGAUGCGAGCGUUAUCCGGAUUUAUUGGGUUUAAAGGGUGCGUAGGCGGAAUGCCAAGUCAGCGGUAAAAUCGCGGGGCUCAACCUCGCUCCGCCAUUGAAACUGGCGUGCUUGAGUGGGCGAGAAGUAUGCGGAAUGCGUGGUGUAGCGGUGAAAUGCAUAGAUAUCACGCAGAACUCCGAUUGCGAAGGCAGCAUACCGGCGCCCAACUGACGCUGAAGCACGAAAGCGUGGGUAUCGAACAGGAUUAGAUACCCGGGUAGUC